UACCUGGUUAUCCUGCCAGUAGUCAUAUGCUUUCUCAAAGAUUAAGCCAUGCAUGUCUCAGUACUUGCUUAACAAGGGAACCGCGAAUGGCUCAUUUAAAAUCAGUUAUGGUUCACUAGAUCGUACAGUUUACGCAUGGAUACUGUGGUAAUUCUAGAGCAAUCAGCAACCAGUCCGUUCCCUCGUGAGGCGACGCAGUUUAUUUGCCCAAGACCAUUCCGGCCCUCGGUCGGUCAUUGGUGACUCUGAAAUAACGCGAAGCGGAGCGCAUGACUCGGUUAUUCGGGCCAAGAUCCUUUCAGUGUUGACUUAUCGCUUGUUGUUAGGUUAUGUUUCCUUAACAAGGCUUUUACGGGUACGGAGUGCUCAGGGCCCGACACCUGAGAGGGAGCACAGGGGGGGGUGAGAAAGGCUAACCAAUCAAGGAAGGCAGCAGGCGCGCAAUAUUACCCACUCCGGCAGCGGGAGGUAGUGGACGAAAGAAUAAAGAUGCGAGAGCUUUAGCUUCUCGUAAUCGGAAUGGGUUAACAACUUUAAAUCCUUUAACGGAGAUCUAUUGGAGGGCAAUCUGGUGGCAGCAGCCGCUGGUAAAUUCCAGCUCCAAUAGCGUAAUAUUAAGUUGCUCGCGGUUAAAAAGCUCGUAGUUGGAUCUGGGUAGUCGAUGGACGUUUUUCUCCACCGUAAGAAGAUACUGCCCGUACGCACCACAGCCCGGCCAUGUCUGCAUGCUCCUUCACUGAGUGUGCUUGGUCGACCGGAACGUUUACUUUGACACAAAAUUAGAGUGCUCAAGCAGGUAAGCUGUAUAAUGGUGCAGGAUUAAUGGAAUAAGAUUUUUGCCGUUGUUCUGUUGGUCUAGAGUCAGAAGCUAAUGAAUAAAUAGGAACAGACGGGGGCAUCAUCGUAUUGCGGCGUAUAGAGGUGAAUUCUUGAUCGUCGCAAACGCACUCCACUGCCGAAACAAUUUGCAAGAAUGUUUUCAUUAAUCAAGAACGAAAGUUAAGUUCGAAGGCGAUCAGAUACCGCCCAGCUUCUAACCAAAACGAGCCAACCAGCGGAUCCGUGUGUUUUAUUUGAUUGAGUCGACGGCAGCUUUCCGGGAAACCAGUGCUUAGGUUCCGGGGGAAGUAUGGUUGCAAAGCUAAUUAAAGGAAUUACGGAAAGGGCACACAGGAGUGGAGCUGCGGCUUAGAUUUGAUCAACACGGGGACAACUCUACCGCGGCCCGGACACUGUACAGAUUGGACAGAUUGAGAGCUCUUUCUUGAGUUUCGGUGGUGGGUGGUGCAUGGCCGUUCUUAGUUGGUGGCAGACGAUUUGUCUGGUUAAUCCGAUACGAACGAGACUAGCCUGCUAUGCCAACUGGAAUCCGCACGUCGCGUUGCUUAAUAAUGCUUCUUAGAGGGACAGGCGCUUUUCCAGUCGCACGAAGAUUGAGCAAUAACAGGUCUGUGAUGCACCUUAGAUGUCCGGGGCCGCGAACGCGCGCUACACUGAAGGGAUCAACGUGGCUUUCCUUACUUGGCGAAGGCCUGGGAUCCGAUGAAACCUUCGUGAUUGGGAUGAGCUUUGUAACUAUCGCUCAUAGAACGAGGCAAUCCCAGUAAAGCCGCCGAGUCAUAACGCGUUGAUUACGUCCCCUGCCUUUGGUACACACCGUCCCUCGCUACUAACCGAUGAAAUGUGUUAGUGAGGUCAUCGGAGUGGCCUCGAAGCUUUCGCAAGAUGGCCUCGAAUGGUUGCAAAGACGUCCAAACUGAUUCCCAUUUAGAGGAAGUAAAAGUCGUAACAAGGUUUUUCCGUGGUGACCUGCGGAAGGAUAUUAC
Molecule: ribosomal RNA, 1826 nt
Filed under: Hypsibius dujardini
Lineage: Eukaryota; Metazoa; Tardigrada; Eutardigrada; Parachela; Hypsibiidae
Description: Eukaryotic small subunit ribosomal RNA
Rfam family: Eukaryotic small subunit ribosomal RNA
Source: Rfam by way of RNAcentral